CCAAGUUCUCUCAGGUAUGAGUCAAAAACUGGUCCAACACAUCAUUCAAACCAAUAGGAGCAUUGCUGAAUUACCUGAAGUGAGGUGAAGAAGCACAUCUCUGAAGAAUAAUAUCUUGAAGCUCUGGCAAUUAACCUAACCAUGUUUUCCACUUUGCAAAAUUAGUUUACCUGCCAACUCAAUCUGCCGGUAUUCUCCUAACUUUUUAAAUGUGAAUUGUGGCAAUUCUGCAAACCAGUCUAUUGGGCAGUCUGUCAAGAAAUAACUGCUACUGUCAAUUACA
Canis lupus familiaris (dog) is the source of this 283-nucleotide long non-coding RNA. RefSeq lists it as uncharacterized. The transcript is spliced from 2 exons. The record is from RefSeq and is a predicted model, not a curated record. Lineage: Eukaryota; Metazoa; Chordata; Mammalia; Carnivora; Canidae.